RNAcentral lists this ribosomal RNA (448 nucleotides) under uncultured bacterium. RNAcentral's name for it is "bacterial SSU rRNA". It matches the Rfam family "Bacterial small subunit ribosomal RNA", at positions 330 to 794 of the family's 1533-position model. The record is from RNAcentral.
CCCAGACUCCUACGGGAGGCAGCAGUGGGGAAUAUUGCACAAUGGGGGAAACCCUGAUGCAGCGACGCCGCGUGAGCGAUGAAGUAUUUCGGUAUGUAAAGCUCUAUCAGCAGGGAAGAAAAUGACGGUCCCUGACUAAGAAGCCCCGGCUAACUACGUGCCAGCAGCCGCGGUAAUACGUAGGGGGCAAGCGUUAUCCGGAUUUACUGGGUGUAAAGGGAGCGUAGACGGUGAAGUAAGUCUGGAGUGAAAGGCGGGGGCCCAACCCCCGGACUGCUCUGGAAACUAUUUGACUGGAGUGCAGGAGAGGGAAGCGGAAUUCCUAGUGUAGCGGUGAAAUGCGUAGAUAUUAGGAGGAACACCAGUGGCGAAGGCGGCUUACUGGACUGUAACUGACGUUGAGGCUCGAAAGCGUGGGGAGCAAACAGGAUUAGAUACCCAUGUACAA